RNAcentral lists this ribosomal RNA (254 nucleotides) under uncultured bacterium. RNAcentral describes it as "partial 16S ribosomal RNA". It matches the Rfam family "Bacterial small subunit ribosomal RNA", at positions 524 to 776 of the family's 1533-position model. The record is from RNAcentral.
UACGUAGGGUGCAAGCGUUGUCCGGAAUUAUUGGGCGUAAAGAGCUCGUAGGCGGUCUGUCGCGUCGGCUGUGAAAACCCGGGGCUCAACCCCGGGCCUGCAGUCGAUACGGGCAGACUAGAGUGCGGUAGGGGAGACUGGAAUUCCUGGUGUAGCGGUGAAAUGCGCAGAUAUCAAGGAGGAACACCGGUGGCGAAGGCGGGUCUCUGGGCCGUAACUGACGCUGAGGAGCGAAAGCGUGGGGAGCGAACAGG